Sorex araneus (European shrew) is the source of this 104-nucleotide small nucleolar RNA. NCBI's taxonomy places the organism in Eukaryota, Metazoa, Chordata, Mammalia, Eulipotyphla, Soricidae. The record is from Ensembl.
ACCCUUUUCUGGUUCAUAGCAUGAUGAUGGAGUAUUCACAUGUCUGUGUAACAUGUGCCUCCCUUAAAUCGGUUAGAUUUUUGGCACACUAGCCUUAUCUGAUG